AGGACGAACGCUGGCGGCGUGCUUAACACAUGCAAGUCGAACGGGUGAAGGGAAGCUUGCUUCCCGGAUCAGUGGCGAACGGGUGAGUAACACGUGGGCAAUCUGCCCCAGACUUUGGGAUAACUACUCGAAAGAGUAGCUAAUACCGAAUAUUCAGCCUUGCAGGCAUCUGCGAGGCUGGAAAGUUUCUCGGUCUGGGAUGAGCCCGCGGCCUAUCAGCUAGUUGGUGAGGGUAAAUGGGCUCACCCAAGGCGACGACGGGUAGCCGGCCUGAGAGGGCGACCGGCCACACUGGGACUGAGACACGGCCCAGACUCCUACGGGAGGCAGCAGUGGGGAAUAUUGCGCAAUGGGCGAAAGCCUGACGCAGCAACGCCGCGUGCGGGAUGAAGGCCUUCGGGUUGUAAACCGCUUUCAGCAGGGAAGAAGCGAAAGUGACGGUACCUGCAGAAGAAGCACCGGCUAACUACGUG
This 473-nucleotide ribosomal RNA is filed under the name uncultured bacterium. RNAcentral's name for it is "bacterial SSU rRNA". It matches the Rfam family "Bacterial small subunit ribosomal RNA", at positions 26 to 507 of the family's 1533-position model. The record is from RNAcentral.